Long non-coding RNA from Nerophis ophidion (straightnose pipefish), 1189 nucleotides. RefSeq lists it as uncharacterized. The transcript has 2 exons. Lineage: Eukaryota; Metazoa; Chordata; Actinopteri; Syngnathiformes; Syngnathidae. The record is from RefSeq and is a predicted model, not a curated record.
UUUAAACCUUUUUUUUUUUUUUUUUCUCGAUAAAGAGCAGUGCCUCAGCAAAUUGUUUUGCUUUUUAAAAUGAACGUGAAGAAGAGUGCUGAAAAAAAACGAUAUUUAUCGAAUGAAAGAAACUGAGCAUUUUUGUCGACUUGUCAAAGCAAUUUCAGUGUAUCUCUGCUAGUCUGCAGCAUACUGAAGCAGACUGACUAAUGUCAGUCAAAAAUUUUAAAAUGUUUUUGAAAACUGCAAACCUUUAUCUGUGAAAAUAUGUAAAAGCUGCUGAUAGUGUAUUUGACGGGGAAGCAGCUGGAGUUUUUUUGUGGCUUUUAGCCCAUGGGUUGACAGCCUUUACUGUCAAAAGAAACAUUUUGCCCCCUUUCGUCUGUAAGAAAUACAGCUUGGAGCUGCAAAACAUAACUCUAAAUAACAUAUUAGUUGUAAAAUUUGAUUUGACUUUAGCUUCUACAACAGAUUUCAGGUGAAACUCAAAACAUGUUAAUAUUAUGCACGGGUUUGUUUAUUCCAGCAAUUCGAUCUACAAGACAAAACUAGUAAGACAUAUGUUCAUAACAUGUAACUCAAGGUAUUUCAGGACUUCUUUUGAUAUAAUUUCGAUUAUUAUAGCUUACACCUUAUGAAAAUCAACCAAAAUUGAAGUACCUCGCACUAAACAGCGUGUGGAAUUUUUAAAAUAGCGUCUACUACUAGUGGGCGUGUUGCGUGCGAUUUACUAAGACUGUGUGGAGGCAGCUGGAAGGAGAUACCCAAGAAGUCAACUCUUACAGGUAGCCCUUGCCAAAGGCCUAGCAUCUGACUGCCCCCUAGCCAGGGGUACGGUGAAGACCUCAACAGCUGAGGAGCAGGCGGAAGACGGUAGAUGUAAGAACUACCAUAACGCCUGUGGUGGCAGAAGAAAGCCCCCCCACAUCCAUCUGGGCCCAGUUAUGGGGAAAUAACAACCCAAGACCUCAACGGUGGAACAGGCGGAGGAUGACUGCUAACCCCAUGGAGCGUCACAAGGGCUGGGAUGGCGGAUGAAAGCUGCAGCAGAAAAGGAUCCCCAGUCGUCUUGGACUCCAUGCCGAUGGACCCUGACCCGGAUCUGUCAAAUAUUGUGUAAUGACUGUCUGUGCACCAGUCUCCCCAUGUUAAAAAAAAAGUCACGCACAGGCAUCCUCCAUAAAGGGAUACCCCCCUA